Molecule: transfer RNA, 94 nt
Filed under: Anisakis simplex (herring worm)
Lineage: Eukaryota; Metazoa; Nematoda; Chromadorea; Rhabditida; Anisakidae
Rfam family: tRNA
About the family: Transfer RNA (tRNA) molecules are approximately 80 nucleotides in length. Their secondary structure includes four short double-helical elements and three loops (D, anti-codon, and T loops).
Source: Rfam by way of RNAcentral
GAUCAGGUGGCCGAGUGGUUAAGGCGAUGGACUGCUAAUCCAUUGGGGUUUCCAUUGUUUUGCUUGUCGGGGAGGGAUUCAUUUUCCUUAAUCA